UGCUCUUUGGCCAGAGAAUUGUUUUUUUGGGUGCCAUCUAUCUCUUCUCUCUAUUUUCUUUCAAUUUGCUUCAAUUCUCUAAUACGCUUCCUUUAGAUUACAUAUGGAAGGUUGAAUACUAAUUCAAUAAUUGGAAGUUUGUUUAGGAAAUUAUGGAACCGUUUCCAAUUCUAUCGCCUAUUUACAAAUUAUUGCUCUUAAUCGGAUGUUUCAAUCGAUCACUGAAGAAUCGUGCUCUGUUUUAUGUUCAUCAUCAGACUUCCAAAAUACAAGGAUCAGUAAGCUGUAUUCCACCUCUAUUGGAGAUUUGACUUGUGCACGGAAGGUUAAGAUGGGGUUUGAUUCUGACGUGGUUUUGGAAAUUGGGUUGCUUGAAAAUGACCUCGACAUACCUGGCUGUGCUUGGAAUUGGUAUUUGUAUUUUAAUUAGAAUUCAUCAAGAGAUGAAAUCUGUCGAGUGUUAAGAGUCUACAAGGUUCAAGAAGAAAGUGGAGAGAUGAUUUGGUGUUAGACGAUAGUUGAUAAGGUUAUGGUGGGGGUGAGUGUCUUAUUAAUAUUGACUGGUUGUGAAAUUUCAAGAUCUUAAAGAGAUUGGACGCAAGGCGCUGUGAAGGUAUUCUUGAGCAUCAUUUAUUUAGAUAAAAACAUAGCUUUAUUUUAGGUUCUUUUUGUCAACUUUAUCUGUUCUUACGUUUGAUUUUUGCUAUAAUAUAGUGGAUGUUUAUAGUUAUUACAGGUAACUUUCAUCUAAUCUUAUUUGGUAAGGUACCAAAUAAGACCAUUUAGGACAAUAUUUACCCAUUUGGAGAUCGAUUCAUAUGCGCAUUGAAAGGAUGUUAACAAUGUCAACCGUCGUAGCUUCACUCCGUUGUUACAAUUUCAACCAUCGUACCAUUUAAGUCAAGUGACCCCAUAAUUUAUUUUUGGGAACUUGAAAUAUAAUGUCUAGCAUCUAAUGUUCUUCAAACAACUGCAAUGAGCAUUAAAACGACUUAUCAUUGUUGGUCCAAAACAACUGAUGAUUGAUUGAUGCAAAAAACUACCAAUGGUGACAAGAAAAAUAAAUAGAUGAUGCACUUACUAACAGCUGAUUUGAUCUACACCUGUGGUGACUGGGCUGUGUUUCUGAUGGCAUCAGGGUGGGAACUCUUAGCCAUUGUACAUCAACAGAUGACAGUUACUACGGUUUGAGUGAAGUAUUCGGGACAGCUUGGAGAUGACUCAAGGCACGAGUUAACUGGUCAAACUUAGCCCACUAAGUCAGCUCGGUCUACGGCGUGUGUUAGUGGGUGCAGAUUCUAAAGCCAACGCGAGGGAAGGCCACAAAUGCAAAUGUUGCUGCAUGGAUAUGGUUACACAUCUGUAACACCUGCAGAUGGAGAUGGUUGUUGGGAUUUUGAUAGAGUCAUCAUGGUUGGAGAUGUGAGCUAGACACCAAGAUAUAUAUAAAAAGGUGGAGGGUGCCACUAUGAUUCAUGUGUGUUGCUUUGAAUGUUGAGAAGCCUAGAGAUCAUGGAUUUGUCAAAGCUUAACAGAGAUCCUUCAAGGUUUUUUUUUAUGUGAGUGGUAAUGCUCUUGAUAGUUGCCUUAAGUCAGAGAACUGUGUAGCAAUAGAACCAUGGAAAUGUGAACUUGAAGACACAACACUUCUAGAUCUUAUACCGUUUCUUGAAUGAUUUAUGAUGAUCCAGGAGAAGGCGGGAGCAGAAGAAACAAGGUCGUCUGUGGCGUUUUUUAUGUGAUGGUUUCUAGAAAAGAUGCAGAUAAGUAAAUCUGUUACAUAGAUUUGAGAUUGAAUAUGAUUACAACUAUAAAGAUUGUUAGUUGGUUUAACUUUUAGAUCAUGUCAUGAAGAGUAGAAAACCUUUAUUUAUAAUAUAACACCAAAUGUCAACCACUAAAAUUGACUAACAACACAAACUCAAUUUGUAACAUCAUUUGAUCUUCUGCAACGUUAAAAUUCACUCGAAACACAUUAUUUUUCGUCUAAAACACUUAACUUUGUUAUGAAACACUUGACUUAUUUGUUCAUAUGAAAUUUCGUAGUUCGUAUAGCAUUGUCUAAAUUUGAUGUUUUAUUGAUUGUUAGAGUUAUAAUUUAAUAAUUUUUAAUUGUUAAACUUAGAAUCGAGUAAUUGUUAAUGGUUUUGACUUUUAAAUUUGGGUUUUAUUUUUCCAAGCGUAGCAAAUGGUUUGGUUUACGAUUAUUGGAAAACCAUCCUUAUAAAAACAGAAUUUUUUAUUUCGGCUUUUUUAAUCUUUCGGGUGAUGGGUUUUUGGAGUUGUAUCAAAGGGUAUGUGAUUAAAUUUUCGAUCUUUCAUAAUUUUAAUGUCCAGGUGAUGGGUUUAGAGUUGUAUAGAAGGGUAGGUGAUUAAAGUUUCGAUCUUUCAUUGUUAUAAUUUCCGGGUCACGGAUUUUAGAGUUGUGUCGCAGGGUAUGUGAUUAAAGUUUUGAUAUUUUGCUCUCUUAAUGUUCGGGUGAAGGAUUUUUGGAAUAGUAUUGAAGGGCAGGUACUUUAAUUUUAGAUCUUUCGUUAUUUGCAAGGGUGACAGGUUUUUUAGAGUUGUAUCAAAGGGUAGGUGCUCAACGUAUCGACCUUUCGUUAUUUUAUCAAAGCCCUGUGUUUUUUGGACUCUUAAAGAGUCGUUUUACUUAACUAUAGUGUAUUUUAACUUAUCAUUGGCAUUGGCAUUGAAAUUACAAAGUUUUAUACAGAAAAUGAGGGCUGGCGGGAAGAGAUAUUUUAAGACAGAAGACGAGUUUGGUUCCUUCAAGGCUAACCACAAUGGUCCCACAACUAAAACCACCUCCAUGCAAUCAGUUCACCCAAACCUACAAACAAUCCACACAUUCUCAGUUUGCUUUCUUUAUUUUAGCCUUCAUAUUCAACUCCAUGGGGCCAGGUGGUGUUAAACCAUGCUCUUUAGCAUCUGGUGCAUAUCAAAUUGACAAUAAAACCAAUGUGAACAAUGGAAGAGCCUUAGAAAGCUUUUUUGGUUGGUAUUAUGCUGCUUGUGCGACUGCAGUUCUAAUCGCUUUCACAGGUACUGUUUAUAUUCAAGAUCAUGCCAGAUGGAAGGUGGGUUUUGGACUUCCUGCAAUUCUUAUGUGUUUAUUAUAUCUAUAAACAUGAGGAAGUGUUUAACGAGUUGUAAUUUUUGUCUUAUUUAUUUCUUUCUUUCAAUUCGGUGUAACUAUAUAUUCAUGUUAGCAGUUCAACGUUUAUUCAACUAAAAGGUUUAUGUAAACGGUGUUAAAUAAUAUAUUUUAUUGUUGGUCCA
Molecule: long non-coding RNA, 3282 nt
Organism: Helianthus annuus (common sunflower)
Lineage: Eukaryota; Viridiplantae; Streptophyta; Magnoliopsida; Asterales; Asteraceae
Exons: 9
Source: RefSeq, a predicted model, not a curated record